This 432-nucleotide ribosomal RNA is filed under the name uncultured bacterium. Its description in RNAcentral is "partial 16S ribosomal RNA". It matches the Rfam family "Bacterial small subunit ribosomal RNA", at positions 29 to 506 of the family's 1533-position model. The record is from RNAcentral.
AACGAACGCUGGCGGCAUGCCUAACACAUGCAAGUCGAACGAUGCCUUCGGGCAUAGUGGCGCACGGGUGCGUAACGCGUGGGAAUCUGCCUUUCGGUUCGGAAUAACUCAGGGAAACGUGAGCUAAUACCGGAUAACGUCGCAAGACCAAAGAUUUAUCACCGAAAGAUGAGCCCGCGUAGGAUUAGCUAGUUGGUGAGGUAAAGGCUCACCAAGGCGACGAUCCUUAGCUGGUCGGAGAGGAUGAUCAGCAACACUGGGACUGAGACACGGCCCAGACUCCUCCGGACGGCAGCAGUGGGGAUUAUGGCACACUGGGUGAAAGACUGAUCCCGCAAGGCCGCGUGAGUGAUGAAGGCCUUAGGGUUGUAAAGCUCUUUUACCCGGGAAGAUAAUGACGGUACCGGGAGAAUAAGCCCCGGCUACCUCCGU